GGAUGCCCUGGCAGUCAGAGGCGAUGAAGGACGUGCUAAUCUGCGAUAAGCGUCGGUAAGGUGAUAUGAACCGUUAUAACCGGCGAUUUCCGAAUGGGGAAACCCAGUGUGUUUCGACACACUAUCAUUAACUGAAUCCAUAGGUUAAUGAGGCGAACCGGGGGAACUGAAACAUCUAAGUACCCCGAGGAAAAGAAAUCAACCGAGAUUCCCCCAGUAGCGGCGAGCGAACGGGGAGCAGCCCAGAGCCUGAAUCAGUGUGUGUGUUAGUGGAAGCGUCUGGAAAGGCGCGCGAUACAGGGUGACAGCCCCGUACACAAAAAUGCACAUGCUGUGAGCUCGAUGAGUAGGGCGGGACACGUGGUAUCCUGUCUGAAUAUGGGGGGACCAUCCUCCAAGGCUAAAUACUCCUGACUGACCGAUAGUGAACCAGUACCGUGAGGGAAAGGCGAAAAGAACCCCGGCGAGGGGAGUGAAAAAGAACCUGAAACCGUGUACGUACAAGCAGUGGGAGCCUCUUUAUGGGGUGACUGCGUACCUUUUGUAUAAUGGGUCAGCGACUUAUAUUCUGUAGCAAGGUUAACCGAAUAGGGGAGCCGAAGGGAAACCGAGUCUUAACUGGGCGUUAAGUUGCAGGGUAUAGACCCGAAACCCGGUGAUCUAGCCAUGGGCAGGUUGAAGGUUGGGUAACACUAACUGGAGGACCGAACCGACUAAUGUUGAAAAAUUAGCGGAUGACUUGUGGCUGGGGGUGAAAGGCCAAUCAAACCGGGAGAUAGCUGGUUCUCCCCGAAAGCUAUUUAGGUAGCGCCUCGUGAAUUCAUCUCCGGGGGUAGAGCACUGUUUCGGCAAGGGGGUCAUCCCGACUUACCAACCCGAUGCAAACUGCGAAUACCGGAGAAUGUUAUCACGGGAGACACACGGCGGGUGCUAACGUCCGUCGUGAAGAGGGAAACAACCCAGACCGCCAGCUAAGGUCCCAAAGUCAUGGUUAAGUGGGAAACGAUGUGGGAAGGCCCAGACAGCCAGGAUGUUGGCUUAGAAGCAGCCAUCAUUUAAAGAAAGCGUAAUAGCUCACUGGUCGAGUCGGCCUGCGCGGAAGAUGUAACGGGGCUAAACCAUGCACCGAAGCUGCGGCAGCGACGCUUAUGCGUUGUUGGGUAGGGGAGCGUUCUGUAAGCCUGUGAAGGUGUGCUGUGAGGCAUGCUGGAGGUAUCAGAAGUGCGAAUGCUGACAUAAGUAACGAUAAAGCGGGUGAAAAGCCCGCUCGCCGGAAGACCAAGGGUUCCUGUCCAACGUUAAUCGGGGCAGGGUGAGUCGACCCCUAAGGCGAGGCCGAAAGGCGUAGUCGAUGGGAAACAGGUUAAUAUUCCUGUACUUGGUGUUACUGCGAAGGGGGGACGGAGAAGGCUAUGUUGGCCGGGCGACGGUUGUCCCGGUUUAAGCGUGUAGGCUGGUUUUCCAGGCAAAUCCGGAAAAUCAAGGCUGAGGCGUGAUGACGAGGCACUACGGUGCUGAAGCAACAAAUGCCCUGCUUCCAGGAAAAGCCUCUAAGCAUCAGGUAACAUCAAAUCGUACCCCAAACCGACACAGGUGGUCAGGUAGAGAAUACCAAGGCGCUUGAGAGAACUCGGGUGAAGGAACUAGGCAAAAUGGUGCCGUAACUUCGGGAGAAGGCACGCUGAUAUGUAGGUGAAGCGACUUGCUCGUGGAGCUGAAAUCAGUCGAAGAUACCAGCUGGCUGCAACUGUUUAUUAAAAACACAGCACUGUGCAAACACGAAAGUGGACGUAUACGGUGUGACGCCUGCCCGGUGCCGGAAGGUUAAUUGAUGGGGUUAGCGCAAGCGAAGCUCUUGAUCGAAGCCCCGGUAAACGGCGGCCGUAACUAUAACGGUCCUAAGGUAGCGAAAUUCCUUGUCGGGUAAGUUCCGACCUGCACGAAUGGCGUAAUGAUGGCCAGGCUGUCUCCACCCGAGACUCAGUGAAAUUGAACUCGCUGUGAAGAUGCAGUGUACCCGCGGCAAGACGGAAAGACCCCGUGAACCUUUACUAUAGCUUGACACUGAACAUUGAGCCUUGAUGUGUAGGAUAGGUGGGAGGCUUUGAAGUGUGGACGCCAGUCUGCAUGGAGCCGACCUUGAAAUACCACCCUUUAAUGUUUGAUGUUCUAACGUUGACCCGUAAUCCGGGUUGCGGACAGUGUCUGGUGGGUAGUUUGACUGGGGCGGUCUCCUCCUAAAGAGUAACGGAGGAGCACGAAGGUUGGCUAAUCCUGGUCGGACAUCAGGAGGUUAGUGCAAUGGCAUAAGCCAGCUUGACUGCGAGCGUGACGGCGCGAGCAGGUGCGAAAGCAGGUCAUAGUGAUCCGGUGGUUCUGAAUGGAAGGGCCAUCGCUCAACGGAUAAAAGGUACUCCGGGGAUAACAGGCUGAUACCGCCCAAGAGUUCAUAUCGACGGCGGUGUUUGGCACCUCGAUGUCGGCUCAUCACAUCCUGGGGCUGAAGUAGGUCCCAAGGGUAUGGCUGUUCGCCAUUUAAAGUGGUACGCGAGCUGGGUUUAGAACGUCGUGAGACAGUUCGGUCCCUAUCUGCCGUGGGCGCUGGAGAACUGAGGGGGGCUGCUCCUAGUACGAGAGGACCGGAGUGGACGCAUCACUGGUGUUCGGGUUGUCAUGCCAAUGGCACUGCCCGGUAGCUAAAUGCGGAAGAGAUAAGUGCUGAAAGCAUCUAAGCACGAAACUUGCCCCGAGAUGAGUUCUCCCUGACUCCUUGA
RNAcentral lists this ribosomal RNA (2774 nucleotides) under Escherichia coli 2-156-04_S3_C3. RNAcentral's name for it is "bacterial LSU rRNA". It matches the Rfam family "Bacterial large subunit ribosomal RNA". The record is from RNAcentral. Lineage: Bacteria; Pseudomonadati; Pseudomonadota; Gammaproteobacteria; Enterobacterales; Enterobacteriaceae.